GGUAGAUUAGUCUUACAGCAUGUUUCUGACGUCGAUAUAAAGUUUUUAAUUUGGUUAUAUGCGUACUCGCCCAAGCUAUAUUCGCUUAUAUGAUGUAGCUAUGUAUAAAAGAGAAAUAUAUAAGUUUUAAACUACUUUGCGACAGCAUAGGUUUUGCUUUAUAAAGUAGACCUAUGUUUUUUGAUACUGCUUUUUUCUUAUUCAACCGGCCUAUAGUAUCUAAGUUAACAACAAGUAAAAAGGAAGGGGAGUCUAAUGAGCUAAAAAUGGGUGGGUAAAUUUUUCAAAAAUUAAUAAAAGUCCAUUCUCGUGUAAUAACCACUUGAGAAUAAUCAAAAAAUAAUGUUAAGUUAAAAUAUAGUUCUCAAAAGUAGUUGAGGCUAAAUAAUUGAAUUAGGCUAAAGUCUUUCCAUUAGUUAUUUGUUGCAAUAAAUGAGACAUCGAAGUUGUUAAUUUUUUUUUGGCUAUGAGACUUGGAGAUCUGAAAACCAGUCGUGACAUCUUAAAACUAUGCGGUAGUGAGGUUGGUAUCUUGUGAUCUAAUUAAGAAGUCACAACUAUUUUUUAGCGUAACUAUUAAAAAGUUUAAAAUAAGACAUUAGACUUAAUGUUUUUAUAACAAAAAAAUUAAAAUAUAUAAUUAUCAUAAAAAAUGUAGUUUUAAUUAAUGGUAAUAGGUUAAAUUUAGCUGUUAAGCAUAAAAGGUCCGUUUCAGUGCUAAACGUCACGAAAAUAAAUUGUAAAUAAUGUUUAAAUUGGCAUUAAAAAACUAAUAACUAUCGAGUCUAAUAGAUUUAGCAAACCAAGAAUGAAGGAAGUAAUUAUAGUGUUUGAGAAUAAAUAGGAUAAUGAUUCUAAAAACUAUGUUGUUGGUGUUCUAAAGGUUAAGAUUGAGAGUAAAAAGAGUUUAUUAAGAAUUAAGAGAUGACUUCAAAAAUUUUGGAUAAAAUCAUGGUUUUAGACUUAGAGUGCUGCGAAUAUUUAAAAAGUUUGGGAUUUGAAUCCGAUGAGAUAAUCUCAUUACUUGACAAAGAAACAAUACUAGAAAUUUUUCCAGAAAAAAGGCGCAAAGCAUUUGUCCAUAGAAUGCUGGUCAGAAAUGCUAUUACCAAAUAUUUAGAAGAAGUUGCUGCAGCUGAUUUUAAUAUUAAG
This is a long non-coding RNA of Hydra vulgaris (swiftwater hydra), 1152 nucleotides long. RefSeq lists it as uncharacterized. The record is from RefSeq and is a predicted model, not a curated record. Lineage: Eukaryota; Metazoa; Cnidaria; Hydrozoa; Anthoathecata; Hydridae.